AUCCAGCUGAUGAGUCUGAAAUUGGACGAAACGCGACUCCUGGAU
RNAcentral lists this non-coding RNA (45 nucleotides) under Schistosoma mansoni. Lineage: Eukaryota; Metazoa; Platyhelminthes; Trematoda; Strigeidida; Schistosomatidae. The record is from RNAcentral.